This 2025-nucleotide long non-coding RNA is filed under the name Salmo salar (Atlantic salmon). RNAcentral's name for it is "lncRNA (ENSSSAG00000089884.1)". Lineage: Eukaryota; Metazoa; Chordata; Actinopteri; Salmoniformes; Salmonidae. The record is from RNAcentral.
GCACCACCACGAAUCUUUAGCCUGCAGACUCCUUUCAGUGGGCACAAAACCGCUAGGCUGCCACAGAGAGGCCCUGCUUUCCAUCAGAAUAUUACCCCUUCGUUUCCCCCUUCUUUAAACGCUAAACGGAGAGAACAGGCUUGGGCUGGGAUAAUGGGAUCUUUUCUCUCUCUCUGCCGCCGGGGGUGAAAACGGCAACAAUGGAGGCAAAAUGAUUUAAAGGGAGCUUUUUCACCUGCUCUCCUUCUUCUCCCAAGCUAUCUGUGUCUUUCAGAGGAUGCUAAUGCCAGCUAAUUUACCAAAAGGCCCAGGCAUGGAUCAAAGCUGGCGAGACGUUCAAUGAGCCAUCAUCGCAGACGAAUCAACCGUGGCCCUUGAGCAAUUAGCUCAAAAUUGCUACAGAAAAAAGUAAGAUCAAGCAAGCCAAGUCUCAAGCAUCCCUUCAAACUCCAUGUGUGGGGGGCAAUUUCUCGCCAGGGACCAGGCCCAUUUUUUAUGUUUGAUGGUAUCACGGCUCAAGAUUUCUUUGAGGAAGAAAUCUUCAAUAGGUAUACUUAACCCUAUGUCAGAGAGGUGUUUCUGGGACCACAUCGUUUCUUUCAAGACAAUGACCCAAACCAAAUUGAGGGACAACACUGGGCCAAUUGUGUGCCACCAUAUGGGUCUCUCAAUCACAGUUGGAUGAGAUACAGUCUGGAUUCAAACCAGGGACUCUAGUGAUGCCUCUUGCACUGAGAUGCAAUGUCUUAGACCACUGCGCCACUCGGGAGCCAUGACCAAUAGGACCAAUAUAUAUUCUCCAGCUAAUAGCCCAUCCUAGAAACAUGCUCGUGCUAUGCUUGUGAAAAACAUGGUUAAUAAUAAUAAUACUUUUUCCCCCUUCCACUUGUUAAAGUUUCCAAUUGAUAAAGUUUUUUUUAAUCAAUUAGUAUAUUUGAGUUUAACCACAAUAUUUGUUGUAUUAUUUGUUCUGUCUUUUCUGGUGGAUUAAACCAACUUUCUAUGGCUUGUUUUAAAAAAUAACAAUAUUUCGGAGAAUAUUUUAUUUUCAAAAAACCUAAAGUGAGCGAGAAAAAUGCCAUUCUUGAACAUGGGGUGAGACAUUGUUACUAAUUUGUAAAAAAAAGCCAGUUUGUUAUUUAGAAUGAUUUUUUUUCUGUUUAUAUUUUAUUUAUUUAUUCAUUUUUUACCCCUUUUUCUCCCCAAUUUCGUGGUAUCCAAUUGGUAGUUACAGUCCUGUCCCAUCGCUGCAACUCUCGUACGGACAUGGGAGAGGCGAAGGUCGAGAGCCGUGCGUCCUCUGAAACACAACCCAGCCAAGCCACUCUGCUUCUUGGCAACUGUAUCAGCGUGCAUUGCACCCAGCCCGCCACAGGAGUCACUAGUGCGUGAUGGGACAGGAACAUCCCUGCUGGCAAAAACGUUCCAUAACCCGGACGACGCUUGGCCAAUUGUGCGUAGUCCCAUGGGUCUCCCGGGUGCGACAGAGCCUGGACUCAAACCAGGAUCUCUAGUGACACAUCUAGCACUGUGAUGCAGUGUUUAUUUCUGUUUUUAAAGGGAGAGAAACCAAAAGCCUACUGUUGUCUCAUGGGUCUCAGCUGGCACGGGUAUCAAACCAGCAUCUGUAGCAACUCAGUUUGCACUGCGUUUGCACUGAGAUGCAGUGCCUUAGACCGCUGCGCCACAUGGGCGCUGUACAAUGUGACAGGUUGGGAGUAGGCUACAGUACUACAGUAAGAGAAAAAAUCAUCCUAACAUUUCCACUCCCUAAUUGUAGUCUAAGUUUCUCUUAGAAUAAAAACCUUAGUGUAACAACAGUUUUAGUAAGUAAUACUGAUGAGUAGUAUCAAAAAAAGAAGUGUAUUUUUUUCAGGUGCGCGUGCAGGACAUAGGAAUAGCAAUUCUUACACUAUUGUUCUAAAUUCAGUCACCUUCUUCAUCCUCAUCAUUCAGUUCAUUAAAAUUCAAUAAAAAUGUCAUAAUGAAAUCAUAUCACUGUGGAGUAAGCAACUUUUACCAAAC